This 1965-nucleotide long non-coding RNA is filed under the name Nicotiana tabacum (common tobacco). RNAcentral describes it as "long non-coding RNA (NTAB_LNC011653)". Lineage: Eukaryota; Viridiplantae; Streptophyta; Magnoliopsida; Solanales; Solanaceae. The record is from RNAcentral.
CCAUUGUUUUCUCUGAAAAUCGCCUCUCCCCGAGCUCCAAUUUGGUAAAAAUGGAAAAUUGUACUGUUCAUAUGUACUGUACACGGGCACUGUGCACGUUACUGUACAUGGUACUAUACACGGAUACUGUUCACGCAGGUGCGGUUACUGUUCACACGUGCGAAAAAUGUAGAAACUGCCCAGAAAAUUGCAGCAGCUUUUCUUUUCACUAAAAAGGCUCUAACUCCAUCAUAGGAACUCGGAAUUCGAUGAUUCUUGUUCCUAUGAGUUACAAAUAAUAAUACGAACAUAGCCCUUCAGUCGAAACUCAAUUCGGAGCUCAUUUUCUUAGUUCAAUACCCAUUUUGCUCGUUAAACAAUUAACUCAUAUUUCGUGUCAAAAAGCCCAUCACGACUUGAUGAAAUUAGACCAAACUUUCUAGAUCAGUCCUAUAAUUCAUUAUCAAAAUAUCGGAAGUCUCGAAAUUAAAUUUCGAUCUCUAGAACUAAAAAUGGACCUUUGGAUCAUUACAUGCUUAUGCUCAAAACGGCAAAAUCUUCCAAAAUCUCUUCCAAAACAUAUCCGAGCCUCAUGGGACCCCGACCAAACAUGCCAACACACCACAUAACAUAAUUCAAACUUGUUCCAACCUUCGGAAUGCUCAAAACAACAUCAAAACAUUAAAUCAUCCUCGGAUUCAAGCCUAAGAAUUCCAAAACUUCCGAAAUCCGAAUUCGAUCAAAAAGUCGACCAAACGACGUCCAAAUGACCUGAAAUUUUUCACACACAUCAAAAAUGACAUAACGAAGCUACAACAACUCUCAGAAUUCCAUUCCGACCCUCGGAUCAAAAUCUCACCUAUCAACCGGAAUUCGCCAAAAUAUUAACUUUGCCAAUUCAAGCCAAAUCCUUCCACGAACUUCCAAAAUAUAUCCGCGCUCCUAAGUCAUAAAUCACCCAACAAAGCUAUCCAAAUCAUAAAAUUUCUGAUCCGAGCUCAUAUACAAAUAAGUCAACUUUUAGUCAAACCUUUCAAAUUCAAAGCUUUCAACUGAGACUGUUCCUUCAAAUUCAUUCUAAUUUUUCCUGAAAACCAAAACCAAUGAUAUACAUCAGUCAUAAUACGUUACACGGGGCAAGUCAUGCCCGGGAACUGGCGAUCAAAGUGCAAAAGUUCAAAACGACCGGUCGGAUCGUUACAAAUAUAUAUACUCUGUUUACCCCAUCCUCUAAAAAAAGAAACACAUAUAGUUCAGUCAUGCCCCAUUACUUUAAAACAAGGUAAACCAACCCCCUCCCUUCCCUCCACCCCUCCCCAAAAAAGGAAGUUAGAAGAAAACAACAGAAAAGGAGAAAUCUUUCUAAUAAGGAACAAAUAAAACCAUACGGGUAUGUUCAAAUGAGUGGCUAAACCAAUAAAAACUAGCAAGAGCAUAAGUAUAUCCUUUUACUAUACAUAAUAUUUCUCCAAAUCGAUUGAUCUGUUAUGCUAUUGAAAAGAAUCUCCUUUCUUUCAAAAUCAAACUCAAUCCACAUAUAUAAUCGUCUUUACAAGAUGAACACACUAUUUGGCAUAUAAAAUAAAGGCGAGCAAAAAUCAAUCAAACAAAAAAGAAUUUUUAUCAGCAAUACUUUUCAAAUUUGGAUGUAAUUAAGUAUUUGAAAGAUAUGUAAUUCUAAGAAGAAAUCCAAUAUUUGAUAAACACAGAGUUAAUUCAUACAUAGGAAAACACAUAGGUUGAAUAGAAGUUUAUAGAUUACCUUGACAAGAAGGAAAAUAAAACCCUGGGUUGUAGAAAAGAAAUCAACUUGUGAUUCUUUGCAGAUCUUUGACUGCUCAAAGCUAGCUAUGUGCGUGUAUUCUUGUAACUGCAAUUUGUCUUGUUCUCAAUUGAUAAAAAAGAGAGAAGUUAUCUUGUUCUCAAUUGAUAAAAUAGUAAAAGGUGUUUUAUUUUAGGAGGGGUGGUCACGAGAGUUGAGGGUUG